GCUGCGCCGAGCCGAGCCGGGCCGGGCCGAACCGAGCCGAGCCGGCGGGAGGCGCUGCAGCGCGCCCUGUGGCGCCUCGUGCAUCCGUGAGGGAAAAGGCGGGAACGUGUGUGAGGGAAGGAGAGAGAGAGGAGAGGGAGUGGGCGUUUGCUCUCACUUGUAAAAAUCUACGUGUAAAAUUUAACGUGGUUUUUAAUGAGAAAUACGCUCUGCCAAGCACUGUAUAGACGCAUUUAAAAGGAUGCUUGCAGAACCACCUGCUCCACCAGCCAGGAUUCUGAGCAUUGCAGGACCCAGAAUUUAACCUUACCACAACUUUGCUUGUGGAAUUGUUACACGUCGCUUGACCUACGGUAAAAAGAAAAGCCGAGACAGCUCUUUGCACAGCUCUUUACUAUCAUUCUUCCUCUCCUUAUCUCCUUCUCAUCUCGUCAGAAUCAAAAAAGCCAUCUUUCAUGUCAUGAGCUCCAUUACAGUACGAACCGUCAUUAAUAUGAGCUUAUGUAGAGCUUACUGAAAUAGAAUCUCAAAUAAAAUGGGAUUACAGCUCCUGGUAAUGUUGGCUCAGAAGAACUGGUGGUGCUGAAGAGGAGAUAAAUCAUUUCAGGCUGGUGAUGAUGAACUGGAGGAAUGAGAUUUUGAGCAGCUCCUGUCAGAAGGUAUGAUUUUGAGACCUGGGUACGGAGUGGGGAGUCCUGAAUGGAACCAUUAAGUUCAUUGCCUGAGGGAAAAGGUCUUUGGAAAUUGAUGCAAUUUACACUUUGAAUCUCGAGGCAAUAGACUGAGAGUUGUAUUUUGAAUCUUGUAAGCAAUACAGAGGUAUUGGUUCUCAGUUGUCUCCCUAAACUUUUUUAUGACAGUUUACUUGGUUUUUAUGUAGAAGUUGUCCUCAGAGCGGCACAGUAACUUAGCUAGUAAUCUGUAAAUACCAAACAUUCACUACUUGCAUUGCAUGCUUGAGUUUGCAUUGUAAAGUAUGUUUAACAUGAGAAAGUCGCUGCACAUGGAUGCCUGAUGCAUGAGGAGUUAGACGGAACAGGAAGCCCAGGUUGUAUUUCCAUUUUGACCAGAUCCUCAGAGAAGCAGUUUUUGAAUGGCUCAGGUUGGUUCCAGACAGUCUAGAGUAGGCUAAGAUGGGCAGUGUGAAGAAAUGAGGGGAACAAAAGGGAGAUUAAGUAGCAAAGGUUGGCUUCAAAGGCUGCUUUAAAUCAGAUUAACAACAAAAUGUUCUGCAGUUUAGCAUCAGCUCCUUAGACUUUGUCAUGGAAUGCCGUGCAACAGAUGGACUAAACAACACCCAAGUGCCGUGAGGAGAGUGAGCAAAAAAAGGAAAAGCAAAGAGUGCCAUUUCCCCUUUUCAGAAUAACUCUCACUGCAUACUUUUCAUAGCAUCAUAUCCCUCUCUGCUAGCAGUUGCUGUAGUUUUUGUGAAAUGUCAGGUAUUUUUAAACAAGGGUUGUUUGCUUUCGAAGGAGAAGGCUGGCAAAUCGCUAGCCCGUAUCUGGAUUGCAGAGGAAACUGUGCUGCCUCCAAGGCUGAGUCCGUGCUGCUGGGGUGAGCAUUCUCAUGGGACGACUGCUAGUUAAAAAA
This is a non-coding RNA of Meleagris gallopavo (turkey), 1590 nucleotides long. Lineage: Eukaryota; Metazoa; Chordata; Aves; Galliformes; Phasianidae. The record is from RefSeq and is a predicted model, not a curated record.